This 74-nucleotide transfer RNA is filed under the name Synarthrophyton patena. Its description in RNAcentral is "tRNA-Lys". It matches the Rfam family "tRNA". Rfam says of the family: Transfer RNA (tRNA) molecules are approximately 80 nucleotides in length. Their secondary structure includes four short double-helical elements and three loops (D, anti-codon, and T loops). Lineage: Eukaryota; Rhodophyta; Florideophyceae; Hapalidiales; Hapalidiaceae. The record is from RNAcentral.
GAGUGUAUAGCUUAGUUGGUUAAAGCAGUGAAUUUUUAAUUCAUUAAUCUUAGGUUCAAGUCCUAAUACACUCA